RNAcentral lists this unclassified non-coding RNA (330 nucleotides) under soil metagenome. RNAcentral's name for it is "partial contains 5.8S ribosomal RNA, internal transcribed spacer 2, and large subunit ribosomal RNA". The stretch from base 1 to 121 matches the Rfam family "5.8S ribosomal RNA", at positions 35 to 154 of the family's 154-position model. The record is from RNAcentral.
GAUGAAGAACGUAGCGAAAUGCGAUAAGUAAUGCGAAUUGCAGAAUUUCCGUGAGUCAUCGAAUCUUUGAACGCACAUUGCGCCCACUGGUAUUCCGGUGGGCAUGCCUGUUCGAGCGUCAUUACAACCCUCAAGCUCUGCUUGGUAUUGGGCCCCGCCAGUUCUGGCGGGCCCUAAAGUCAGUGGCGGUGCCUUCCGGCUCCGAGCGUAGUAAUUCUUCUCGCUCUGGAGACCCGGUUGUGUGCUUGCCAACAACCCCCAAUUUUUUAAGGUUGACCUCGGAUCAGGUAGGGAUACCCGCUGAACUUAAGCAUAUCAAUAAGCGGAGGA